RNAcentral lists this ribosomal RNA (252 nucleotides) under uncultured bacterium. Its description in RNAcentral is "partial 16S ribosomal RNA". It matches the Rfam family "Bacterial small subunit ribosomal RNA", at positions 524 to 776 of the family's 1533-position model. The record is from RNAcentral.
UACGGAGGAUGCGAGCGUUAUCCGGAUUUAUUGGGUUUAAAGGGUGCGUAGGCGGAUCGUUAAGUCAGUGGUCAAAUUGAGGGGCUCAACCCCUUCCCGCCAUUGAAACUGGCGCUCUUGAGUGGAGGAGAAGUAUGCGGAAUGCGUGGUGUAGCGGUGAAAUGCAUAGAUAUCACGCAGAACCCCGAUUGCGAAGGCAGCAUGCCGGCUUCCGACUGACGCUGAAGCACGAAAGCGUGGGGAUCGAACAGG